Molecule: unclassified non-coding RNA, 345 nt
Filed under: soil metagenome
Description: partial contains 5.8S ribosomal RNA, internal transcribed spacer 2, and large subunit ribosomal RNA
Rfam family: 5.8S ribosomal RNA (bases 1-120)
Source: RNAcentral
GAUGAAGAACGUAGCGAAAUGCGAUAACUAAUGUGAAUUGCAGAAUUCAGUGAAUCAUCGAGUCUUUGAACGCACAUUGCGCCCCCUGGUAUUCCGGGGGGCAUGCCUGUCCGAGCAUCAUUGCUGCCCUCAAGCACGGCUUGUGUGUUGGGCCUCCGUCCUCCUCCCGGGGGACGGGCCCGAAAGGCAGCGGCGGCACCGCGUCCGGUCCUCGAGCGUAUGGGGCUUCGUCACCCGCUCUUGUAGGCCCGGUCGGCGCUUGCCGACACAUCAAUCUUUUUUCCAGGUUGACCUCGGAUCAGGUAGGGAUACCCGCUGAACUUAAGCAUAUCAAUAAGCGGAGGA